Long non-coding RNA from Carya illinoinensis, 1548 nucleotides. RefSeq lists it as uncharacterized. Lineage: Eukaryota; Viridiplantae; Streptophyta; Magnoliopsida; Fagales; Juglandaceae. The transcript has 2 exons. The record is from RefSeq and is a predicted model, not a curated record.
UUGGUUAAAGUUAAAGGUAAGCAAACAUAUUUUUUUAAGGGAAGAACAGCACUUAGACAAUAAAUGCCACUUAUCAUGCUGCAUGCACAGCUCGCUCGAUUCAUGUGGUGGACUUUGGCUUAUUGGCAGACAGAUAGUCCAACGUCCCUAAUUAACAUAUAUUAAUAGAAGGUAAUUAAGAAAGAAUAAGGAAAAAAAUAAAAAAAAUAAUGGCUGAUUGGUACGAACGAUGUCAACGGAAGCGCGCUGCUGUGACCAAUGGCUGUUCUCCAAGCUUUAGCCAAUGUUGCAAAGCUGUCUUAUCUCUUUAGAUUGGAUAAGCUAUUAAUCUACCGUUCAUAGAUAUAUUAAUGCAGCCGUUUGGUGCAAGUGGCUACGCACAAUGCUUUGCAGCCAAAAAGGUUUCUGGGAUUACUGCAUACAGAUCAUAAAAAUUUGCUGAUAAGGGAAACGCGUGAUCCUGAUCAGUUCACAUCAUCAUCUUUGCUUAAUUUUUUAUAUAUCUUUUAUUUGGCCAGUUUUGGUUACGGUACUGUUCAAUGUUUUCUGAAAUUAAGUUGUAUUUUUAGGAUUAAUUAUUAUCGCUGUGAAUGGGUUGACAGUACUAGACACAAGUUCUAAAUCCAACGUCCACGGUCAAAUUAACUUGUUUGAACAGACUCAGUCCCCCACCAUAUAGCAUUAAUUCAGCCUUAGCCCGGUUUACCCGAAAUCUACUCUAGUCUGUUUUCUCAAAGCCACGACAUAAACAACCGGUACUUAAGACAUUUAAGAAUAUAUAUAUACACUCUCUUCUUUCAACGACUACGUACGUACGUGACACUAUUAGCUAGCUAGCUAUAUAUAGAUCUCUUUUAUUAUUUAAAAUCUGUAUAUUAAUAGAGAAGGACGUAGCAUGACCGGCUAUACAUAUAAAAUUUACUUACCUAAAAAAAGAAGAACAUUAUAUAUAUAUAUAUAUAUAUAAAUAAUUAGAUCUUCAUAUAUAAUUUGGCAGCCAUAUAUAAAAUAUGUAUGAAGAAACUAGUACAUGAUGAAUAUCUAGGGGCGCUUUGGCUCUUGCUGUCAACGAGCUAGCUAGGUUGUUGACCACUUAGAUGGCCGGGUACAAUGAUGGAAUUCUGAACAGGUGUCAAGAAACUUCAUUUCUUGGAAGGAGGAAAUUAAGGUAGUACGUACGAGACACAAACUUCAUGGCAAGGUCGGCGAUUCUUCCUCAGAUCAAUCAAUGCAUCAUGCUUGGUAAACCCUAUCAGGAGAAGAUCAAGAUCACGCGUCAAUAUAUUAUAUUAUAUAGUUGAGUCUUGUAAAGUUCUAAAUGUUGAAGAGUUGUUCGAUCUGAUCUAUAUACAUUGACACUAGUAUAUUUAUUUAUUAAUAAUUAAUCACUAGAGCUGGGGAUUAAUGUUGAACCGCUCAUUUUCCGUUGAAUUGGUCGUUGUGAAUCUCGCACUUACUUUUUUGUCAGGCUAGCUGCCCGGAAAGAUAAACAGAUGAUCUCUGCCCUGAUCAACAUUUUCUAAAGGUUACAAUCGUUCCUCCUCGUUA